RNAcentral lists this ribosomal RNA (305 nucleotides) under uncultured bacterium. RNAcentral describes it as "bacterial SSU rRNA". It matches the Rfam family "Bacterial small subunit ribosomal RNA", at positions 337 to 656 of the family's 1533-position model. The record is from RNAcentral.
CCCUACGGGAGGCAGCAGUGGGGAAUAUUGGACAAUGGGGGGAACCCUGAUCCAGCGACGCCGCGUGAGUGAAGAAGUAUUUCGGUAUGUAAAGCUCUAUCAGCAGGGAAGAAAGAAAUGACGGUACCUGACUAAGAAGCCCCGGCUAACUACGUGCCAGCAGCCGCGGUAAUACGUAGGGGGCAAGCGUUAUCCGGAUUUACUGGGUGUAAAGGGAGCGUAGACGGCCAUGCAAGCCAGGGGUGAAAGCCCGGGGCCCAACCCCGGGACUGCCCUUGGAACUGCAUGGCUGGAGUGCGGGAGGG